RNAcentral lists this ribosomal RNA (468 nucleotides) under uncultured bacterium. RNAcentral describes it as "partial 16S ribosomal RNA". It matches the Rfam family "Bacterial small subunit ribosomal RNA", at positions 28 to 507 of the family's 1533-position model. The record is from RNAcentral.
GACGAACGCUGGCGGCGUGCUUAACACAUGCAAGUCGAACGGAAAGUCCCGGCUUGUGUGUUGUGCUCGAAUGUCGAACGGGUGAGUAACACGGGAGUAGCCUGCCCUUGACUAUGGGAUAACUUCAGGGAACUAGGACUAGUACACGAUAAGAACUCCUUCUUCAUAGUUGACUUUUGAAAGUUUCGUCGGUUGGGGAUGGACUCGCGUCUUAUCGGCUUGUUGGUGGGGUAGUGGUUUACCAAGUCUUUGACGGGUAGCCGGCCUGUGAGGGUGAGCGGCCACAUUGGGACUGAGAUACGGCCCAGACUCACACGGGAGGCAGCAGUGGGGAAUAUUGCACAAUGGGCGGAGGAAUGAUGCAGCAACGAAGCGUGCGGGAUGACGGCAUUCGGGUUGUACACAGCUUUCGCCUGUGACGAAGCGUGAGUGACGGUAAUGGGUAAAGAAGCCCCGGCUAACUACGUG